CGCACGGGUGAGUAACACGUAUCCAACCUGCCGUCUACUCUUGGACAGCCUUCUGAAAGGGAGAUUAAUACAAGAUGGCAUCAUGAGUCCGCAUGUUCACAUGAUUAAAGGUAUUCCGGUAGACGAUGGGGAUGCGUUCCAUUAGAUAGUAGGCGGGGUAACGGCCCACCUAGUCUUCGAUGGAUAGGGGUUCUGAGAGGAAGGUCCCCCACAUUGGAACUGAGACACGGUCCAA
This 235-nucleotide ribosomal RNA is filed under the name uncultured bacterium. RNAcentral's name for it is "partial 16S ribosomal RNA". It matches the Rfam family "Bacterial small subunit ribosomal RNA", at positions 99 to 334 of the family's 1533-position model. The record is from RNAcentral.